RNAcentral lists this non-coding RNA (93 nucleotides) under Saccharomonospora sp. The record is from RNAcentral. Lineage: Bacteria; Bacillati; Actinomycetota; Actinomycetes; Pseudonocardiales; Pseudonocardiaceae. RNAcentral also lists the same sequence under 1 other name.
CGUGGUCGCCGUGGAACCCGGUGCGAAUCCGGGACGGUCCCGCCACUGUGACCGGCCGUUUCCCGGCCGGGAGUCAGAGCUUCGGCGGCCGCG